GAAAUGCGAUAAGUAAUGUGAAUUGCAGAAUUCAGUGAAUCAUCGAAUCUUUGAACACACAUUGCGCCCACCAGUAUUCUGGCGGGCAUGCCUGUCCGAGCGUCAUUUCAACCAUCAAGCCCCCGGGCUUGUGUUGGGGACCUGCGGCUGCCCGCAGGCCCUGAAAACCAGUGGCGGGCUCGCUGUCACACCGAGCGUAGUAGCAAUCACCUCGCUCAGGGCGUGCUGCGGGUUCCGGCCGUUAAACAGCCUUACAAAACCCAAGGUUGACCUCGGAUCAGGUAGGAAGACCCGCUGAACUUAAGC
RNAcentral lists this unclassified non-coding RNA (306 nucleotides) under plant metagenome. RNAcentral describes it as "partial contains 5.8S ribosomal RNA, internal transcribed spacer 2, and large subunit ribosomal RNA". The stretch from base 1 to 105 matches the Rfam family "5.8S ribosomal RNA", at positions 50 to 154 of the family's 154-position model. The record is from RNAcentral.